This 937-nucleotide long non-coding RNA is filed under the name Marmota monax (woodchuck). Lineage: Eukaryota; Metazoa; Chordata; Mammalia; Rodentia; Sciuridae. The record is from RNAcentral.
AUUUGAAAUAGUUAAGAUACACAAGAGUUUGCAAAUAUGGUACAGAGGGGAGGACUGUUGAGGUAGCCUUUACCCAGUCCCCUCCUUCCCUCCUGGUUACAUGAUUUUAGUACAAUGUCAAAACCAGCCAUUUGAUGUUGAUACACUGAUAGGUGCUAUUUUCCAAGCUGAUGAUGAAGCUUGGAAAUGGACAAAAAUCUCUGUCCAGUCUUUAUGGGAUUUGUUUUCUAAAUGUGACCAGGUGUGGUGGUAUUCUUCUGUAAUCCUAGCAGCUCAGGAGGCUGAAGUGGGGAUGAUCACAAUUUCAAAAUCAGCCUCAGCAAUUUAUCGAGGCCCCAAGCAACUCAGCAAUACCUUGUCUCUAAAUAAAAUACCGAAAAAGGGGCUAGGGAUGUGCCCCUGUUAGAUUGUGACAAAUACCUUAGGAAAAUAAGGAAAGGGGGCUUAGGUUUGUGAGGGUAUGUGUGUUUUCCAACAUGUCUUACCCCGCUUCUGGGGAUUGAAUCCAAUAGUGCUUUUACCACUGAGCCAUAACUCCCAGGCCUUUUUAAAAAUAUUUAUUUUGAGAUAGUGUUGCUAAGUUGACAAGGCUGGCUCAGAUUAUAGGUGUGCACCAUACCCUGGGUUGCUGAAGGGUUUUAAGCGGAGAAUCGACAAUGUGAUUUGUAUGUUAGCAGGAUUCAUUGGACAUUCUUGGGGAACAGAUGAAAGGGAGUAAGGGUGGUAGCAGAGACCCCAGUCAGGAGCUCAUUCAACCAAGGUGGUAAAAAAUGGUUGGAUUCUAGAUAAUCUUUGAAGGUAGUAUGGACAAACAUUCCAUUUCAGUUCAUAGGGAGUUCCCCAUUUCUCUUUUUGACAGAUGCCUAGAAUUUAAUUAUAUAAUAAUUUAAGAAACCAGUCCCUGGCCUGUGGAUAUUUAGGUUGAUUAUCUUUUACU